This 253-nucleotide ribosomal RNA is filed under the name uncultured bacterium. RNAcentral describes it as "partial 16S ribosomal RNA". It matches the Rfam family "Bacterial small subunit ribosomal RNA", at positions 524 to 776 of the family's 1533-position model. The record is from RNAcentral.
UACAGAGGGGGCAAGCGUUGUUCGGAAUUACUGGGCGUAAAGGGCGCGUAGGCGGCCUGUUAAGUCGAACGUGAAAUCCCCGGGCUCAACCCGGGAACUGCGUCCGAUACUGGCAGGCUUGAAUUCGGGAGAGGGAUGUGGAAUUCCAGGUGUAGCGGUGAAAUGCGUAGAUAUCAAGAGGAACACCUGAGGUGAAGACGGGUUGCUGGGCCAACACUGACGCUGAGGCGCGAAAGCCAGGGGAGCAAACGGG